GACGAACGCUGGCGGCGUGCUUAACACAUGCAAGUCGAACGGAAAGGCCCUGCUUUUGUGGGGUGCUCGAGUGGCGAACGGGUGAGUAACACGUGAGUAACCUUCCCUUGACUUUGGGAUAACUUCAGGAAACUGGGGCUAAUACCGGAUAGGAGCUCCUGCUUCAUGGUGGGGGUUGGAAAGUUUCGGCGGUUGGGGAUGGACUCGCGGCUUAUCAGCUUGUUGGUGGGGUAGUGGCUUACCAAGGCUUUGACGGGUAGCCGGCCUGAGAGGGUGACCGGCCACAUUGGGACUGAGAUACGGCCCAGACUCCUACGGGAGGCAGCAGUGGGGAAUAUUGCACAAUGGGCGGAAGCCUGAUGCAGCAACGCCGCGUGCGGGAUGACGGCCUUCGGGUUGUAAACCGCUUUCGCCUGUGACGAAGCGUGAGUGACGGUAAUGGGUAAAGAAGCACCGGCUAACUACGUG
Molecule: ribosomal RNA, 468 nt
Filed under: uncultured bacterium
Lineage: Bacteria
Description: partial 16S ribosomal RNA
Rfam family: Bacterial small subunit ribosomal RNA
Source: RNAcentral